This 438-nucleotide ribosomal RNA is filed under the name Salmonella enterica subsp. enterica serovar Typhimurium. Its description in RNAcentral is "partial 23S ribosomal RNA". It matches the Rfam family "Bacterial large subunit ribosomal RNA", at positions 137 to 611 of the family's 2925-position model. Lineage: Bacteria; Pseudomonadati; Pseudomonadota; Gammaproteobacteria; Enterobacterales; Enterobacteriaceae. The record is from RNAcentral.
GAUUCGUCACACUAUCAUUAACUGAAUCCAUAGGUUAAUGAGGCGAACCGGGGGAACUGAAACAUCUAAGUACCCCGAGGAAAAGAAAUCAACCGAGAUUCCCCCAGUAGCGGCGAGCGAACGGGGAGGAGCCCAGAGCCUGAAUCAGCAUGUGUGUUAGUGGAAGCGUCUGGAAAGGCGCGCGAUACAGGGUGACAGCCCCGUACACAAAAGCGCAUGUGCUGUGAGCUCGAUGAGUAGGGCGGGACACGUGGUAUCCUGUCUGAAUAUGGGGGGACCAUCCUCCAAGGCUAAAUACUCCUGACUGACCGAUAGUGAACCAGUACCGUGAGGGAAAGGCGAAAAGAACCCCGGCGAGGGGAGUGAAAAAGAACCUGAAACCGUGUACGUACAAGCAGUGGGAGCACAGGUUUACCUGUGUGACUGCGUACCUUUUGU